This is a small nuclear RNA of Callithrix jacchus (white-tufted-ear marmoset), 107 nucleotides long. The record is from Ensembl. Lineage: Eukaryota; Metazoa; Chordata; Mammalia; Primates; Cebidae.
GUGCUUGCUUUGGCAACACAUAUACUAAAAUUGGAAUGAAACAGAGAAGAUUAGCAUGGCCCCCAUGCAAGGAUGACACACAAAUUCAUGAAACAUUCCAUAUUUUU